This 1352-nucleotide ribosomal RNA is filed under the name metagenome. RNAcentral's name for it is "bacterial LSU rRNA". It matches the Rfam family "Bacterial large subunit ribosomal RNA", at positions 1552 to 2925 of the family's 2925-position model. The record is from RNAcentral.
UAUGGGAAGACGUGAUGCGGAGUGAAGUUUAGUAAUGAAGUCCGUGAGCUGUGCGUCAAGAAAAGCCGCUAUUGUUCAUACCAUACCCGUACCGUAAACCGACACAGGUGGAUGAGGAGAGAAUCCUAAGGCCGGCGGAAGAAGCAUUGUCAAGGAACUCGGCAAAAUGACCCCGUAACUUCGGGAGAAGGGGUGCCUGCGAGAGCAGGCCGCAGAGAAUAGGCUCAAGCAACUGUUUAGCAAAAACACAGGUCUAUGCGAAACCGAAAGGUGAGGUAUAUGGGCUGACGCCUGCCCGGUGCUGGAAGGUUAAGAGGAGAGGUUAGCGCAAGCGAAGCUUUGAAUUUAAGCCCCAGUAAACGGCGGCCGUAACGAUAACGGUCCUAAGGUAGCGAAAUUCCUUGUCGGGUAAGUUCCGACCCGCACGAAAGGCGUAAUGAUUUGAGCGCUGUCUCGACAAUGCAUCCGGUGAAAUUGAAGUACCAGUGAAGAUGCUGGUUACCUGCGCCAGGACGGAAAGACCCCAUGGAGCUUUACUCCAGUUUGGUACUGGGAUCCGGUACUGCAUGUACAGGAUAGGUGGGAGGCUGAGAAUCGGUAACGCCAGUUGCCGAGGAGCCGCUGUUGGGAUACCACCCUUGCAGUAUUGGGUUUCUAACCAGCCGCCGUGACCCGGCGGUGGGACAAUGCCAGACGGGGAGUUUGACUGGGGCGGUCGCCUCCGAAAGGGUAUCGGAGGCGCCCAAAGGUUCCCUCAGGAUGGACGGAAACCAUCCAAAGAGUGCAAAGGCAGAAGGGAGCUUGACUGCGACACCGACGGGUGGAGCAGGUACGAAAGUAGGGCUUAGUGAUCCGGUGGUAUUAAGUGGAAUGCCAUCGCUCAACGGAUAAAAGUUACCCUGGGAAAACAGGCUUAUCACUCCCAAGAGUUCACACCGACGGAGUGGUUUGGCACCUCGAUGUCGGCUCAUCGCAUCCUGGGGCUGUAGUAGGUCCCAAGGGUUGGGCUGUUCGCCCAUUAAAGCGGUACGCGAGCUGGGUUCAGAACGUCGUGAGACAGUUCGGUCCCUAUCCGGCGUGGGCGUAGGAUAUCUGAGAGGAGCUGUCCUUAGUACGAGAGGACCGGGAUGGACGGGCCGCUGGUGCACCGGUUAGACUGCCAAGUCUAUAGCCGGGUAGCCAAGCCCGGAAGGGAUAAACGCUGAAGGCAUCUAAGCGUGAAGCCCCCCUCAAGAUGAGAUAUCCCAUCCGAAAGGAGUAAACCCCCUUGAAGACGACGAGGUCGAUAGGGCAGAGGUGGAAGUGUGGUAACACAUGGAGCUGACUGCUACUAAUAGGGUGAGGGCUUGAGC